UCUAAGGAAAUCGAAAAUGUUAUUUUCGAUUUAAAAAAAAACCGGUAAUGUGACCGUCCUCAUUUCUCUUCUUUUAAUGUCUCUGAGUAAAAAUUAAGGGGCCGGUAGCUCAGGUGGUUAGAGCGCACCCCUGAUAAGGGUGAGGUCGGAAGUUCGAAUCUUCCUCGGCCCACCAAAGAUUUCGGGGGAUUAGCUCAGCUGGGAGAGCGCCUGAUUUGCAUUCAGGAGGUCAGCGGUUCGAUCCCGCUAUCCUCCACCAAAGUUUGAGACAUUUAGCUUUUUUAAAUUGUGAAUAUUAAUAUUAUCAAUAUCUAUAUCCGAUUGUUUUCAGAUAUUUUUUUGAAAACAAUCAAAACAAAAAUUUGAAUUUUACACAGAAAUUUUUUUUCUGUGCAUAAAU
This 400-nucleotide transfer RNA is filed under the name uncultured marine alpha proteobacterium. Its description in RNAcentral is "16S-23S intergenic spacer region". The stretch from base 99 to 172 matches the Rfam family "tRNA". The record is from RNAcentral. Lineage: Bacteria; Pseudomonadati; Pseudomonadota; Alphaproteobacteria.